GACGAACGCUGGCGGCGUGCCUAACACAUGCAAGUCAACUUGACUGAAGGAGCAAUCUGACAGUAGAGUGGCGCAAGGGUGCGUAACGCGUAAGUAACUUGCCCAAGGUAAGGAAUAACGUCGAGAAAUCGGCGCUAAUACCUCAUAAUGCAGCGGAUCCGCAUGGAUAUGUUGUUAAAGGUUUACCGCCUUGGGAUAGGCUUGCGUCUGAUUAGUUAGUUGGUGUGGUAACGGCACACCAAGGCUACGAUCAGUAACUGGUCUGAGAGGAUGAUCAGUCACACUGGAACUGAGACACGGUCCAGACUCCUACGGGAGGCAGCAGUGAGGAAUAUUGGGCAAUGCUCGAAAGAGUGACCCAGCAACGCCGCGUGGAGGAUGAAGGUAUUCUAUAUCGUAAACUCCUGUGAGAGCAGACGAAAGACAGAUUAUUAAUCUGGAUGACUGUAUGCUCAGAGGAAGCCCGGCUAACUACGUGCCAG
This 482-nucleotide ribosomal RNA is filed under the name uncultured bacterium. Its description in RNAcentral is "bacterial SSU rRNA". It matches the Rfam family "Bacterial small subunit ribosomal RNA", at positions 28 to 511 of the family's 1533-position model. The record is from RNAcentral.